UGAGGGCUGAUCUUUGGUAGAUCUGAAGUUUGUAAACUUGUAUUGACACUCUAUUGUUGGUUUCUAGUGGAUUAGAGCGUUAAUCACUUCGGUGGAAGCUCAACGUGGUGACGUAGCCCAUUCUUGGGUGAACAUCCGGGCCUACGGGCGAAAAAUCAUCGUGUUCUUUUAAUUUCUGUGAUUUUAUUUCGAGUAUUGGGACUGUUAAU
This 209-nucleotide long non-coding RNA is filed under the name Olea europaea (common olive). Its description in RNAcentral is "long non-coding RNA (OEUR_LNC010920)". Lineage: Eukaryota; Viridiplantae; Streptophyta; Magnoliopsida; Lamiales; Oleaceae. The record is from RNAcentral.